RNAcentral lists this ribosomal RNA (415 nucleotides) under uncultured bacterium. Its description in RNAcentral is "bacterial SSU rRNA". It matches the Rfam family "Bacterial small subunit ribosomal RNA", at positions 917 to 1333 of the family's 1533-position model. The record is from RNAcentral.
GGGCCCGCACAAGCGGUGGAGCAUGUGGUUUAAUUCGAUGCAACGCGAAGAACCUUACCAGGGUUUGACAUCCUGCGAAUCUGUUGGAAACGAGAGAGUGCCUUCGGGAACGCAGUGACAGGUGGUGCAUGGCUGUCGUCAGCUCGUGUCGUGAGAUGUUGGGUUAAGUCCCGCAACGAGCGCAACCCACGUCGUUAGUUGCCAGCAUUUAGUUGGGCACUCUAGAGAGACUGCCGGUGAUAAACCGGAGGAAGGUGUGGAUGACGUCAAGUCAUCAUGCCCCUUACAUCCUGGGCUACGCACGUACUACAAUGCUACGGACAAAGGGCAGCAAACUCGCGAGAGCUAGCAAAUCCCAUAAACCGUGGCUCAGUUCAGAUCGUAGGCUGCAACUCGCCUACGUGAAGGAGGAAUC